Molecule: long non-coding RNA, 1057 nt
Organism: Solanum dulcamara
Lineage: Eukaryota; Viridiplantae; Streptophyta; Magnoliopsida; Solanales; Solanaceae
Exons: 2
Source: RefSeq, a predicted model, not a curated record
UCUUCCCAUGAAAAUAUAUGCUUUCUAAUAUUCUCAACCACAUGUCUCUCUUUUUGUCUGCACAAAACACGUGUGCUUGACGUAUGUACAUAUCUAAAAGAAGAUGAUACUGGACUAUUCUCUCUCACGACAAGAGCCGACGAAUGUUCAGGAAGAUGAUUGUUACAUAGUUUUCUUUCGUGAAUAAAGUUGAGGGCUUCCUCAAACGAAGAAGAUUCUGAUUGACGAUUGCAAAUCAUGAAUUAAGAAAAACAACAAUCCAAGAAAGGAAAUAAAAACAACUCCCAAAUCUGCUGCAUUGAUUGAUUCUGAUUGAAGAAAAGAAAGGAAAGAGAGACCACACUCAAUCGUUGGAGAUUGACAUCACUGCUGAUUGAAGAUUGAAGAUUGAAGAUUGAAGAUUGAAGAUGGAAGAUGGAAGAUGGAAGAUGGAAGAUGGAAGAUGGAAGAUGGAAGAUGGAAGAUGGAAGAUGGAAGAUGGAAGAGAUGGAAGAUUGACCAUCAACAAAUGGAAGAUCAAAUUAGAAGCCGCUAUAUAAGGCGGGAAGCUGAUUGUAGAUCAAACCAAUCAGGAAAGAAGACCUCUGUACAAGGCAAAGCCUUCGCACGAACAUAUUUGAUAUGGACGUGCAUCAUCAAUCAAGGAAUCCCUACAAAUCCUUAAUUGAUAAAAAUCCCUUGGAUUUUCCUUUUAGAGCAGAUAUGAUCGUCUUACCUUCAAUCAUAUAUAAAGUCAUCCUCAUCUAGUUAGAGAGUUACGAAAACUUCACUUGAAAUUAUUUAGCGUUUUCUCUCAUCUUUCAUAAAAGCUUUGUUCUCAGUUAAGUUUACAAUUGUAAUAGAAAAGAAAAAAAUUAUUUCUAGCAUAGGUUAUACAAGUAGAGGUAACGUCAAGUCAAAAAAGUCUGAUUUGCACAUCAGACGUGUUCAUUUCUAUUCUACACUAUACCCAUCAAAUUACUUCAACCUUUAAAGGAAAUCCUUGUAACCCAAAAGGAUUGGAUUUGGCACUACAUCGGUGAUCCGAAUCAAGAUAAAUUUAUGUCUUCUUUCUAUU